GUCUCGCGAAGUCUCGCCAAGGUGAGAGCGUGCAUUUCAACAUGGCUCCUCACAGUGCAAGCAACGUUUCGUUCAUGAGCGCAGCGGCCAAAGGCAAUCCUCGCGUGCGCUUUUCGUCUGCUGACGACAUCGAGAGGCUGCGCGAGCAACCAGCAAAACAUUCACAGCACGCAACGUGCGCGAACGUGCGGAACUGAUGCUUUGGCGCUACUCAUCGAACGACCGGAAAAACCUCAGCAAAUCCGGCACAGAGGAAGAGUACAGUAAGAAGGAGCAGCUUUUGCACGAGAUCAUCGAAAAAAUGAAAAAUGAAGGUUUAACGAUUAGGGCACCGCGGCGUUCAAACAACGGUGCAGUAUCACAGCCGGCUCGUGGGCGCCUCACGUCGACGCAAGAAGCGGCACGACGCUCAGCAGCGACCGCGAGAGACGUAACCGCCGAAGCCUACACGUUGGAAGAUUAU
Molecule: long non-coding RNA, 463 nt
Filed under: Dermacentor andersoni
Lineage: Eukaryota; Metazoa; Arthropoda; Arachnida; Ixodida; Ixodidae
Description: uncharacterized LOC126539219
Source: RNAcentral